CGCCUUGCCAGCCCGCUCAGAACUUAAAGGAAGUUGACGGGGCCGCACAAGCGGAGGAGCAUGUGGUUAAUUCGAUGAUACGCGAGGAACCUUACCUGGGCUCGAACGUAAGAUGACUGUAGGUGAAAGCUUACAUCUCUUCGGAGCAUUUUACGAGGUGCUGCAUGGUUGUCGUCAGCUCGUGCCGUGAGGUGUCGGGUUAAGUCCCAUAACGAGCGCAACCCCUACCUUUAGUUGCCAUCAGGUUAAGCUGGGGACUCUAAAGGAACUGCCUACGCAAGUAGUGAGGAAGGCGGGGAUGACGUCAAAUCAGCACGGCCCUUACGUCCAGGGCUACACACGUGCUACAAUGGCCGAUACAGAGGGCAGCUACCUGGUGACAGGAUGCAAAUCUCCAAAGUCGGUCUCAGUUCGGAUCGGAGUCUGCAACCCGACUCCGUGAAGUUGGAUUCGCUAGUAAUCGCGCAUCAGCCAUGGCGCGGUGAAUACGUUCCCGGGCCUU
RNAcentral lists this ribosomal RNA (502 nucleotides) under uncultured Sphingobacteriales bacterium. Its description in RNAcentral is "bacterial SSU rRNA". It matches the Rfam family "Bacterial small subunit ribosomal RNA", at positions 903 to 1382 of the family's 1533-position model. Lineage: Bacteria; Pseudomonadati; Bacteroidota; Sphingobacteriia; Sphingobacteriales. The record is from RNAcentral.